Molecule: long non-coding RNA, 549 nt
Organism: Lolium rigidum
Lineage: Eukaryota; Viridiplantae; Streptophyta; Magnoliopsida; Poales; Poaceae
Exons: 3
Source: RefSeq, a predicted model, not a curated record
CGCUUCACCCUGCUGCCUCCGACCACCAUGCCGGACACGCCUGGAGCUCCCUUGCUGCGGAGGCGACUGGUGACCGGUGGUCAACGAUGUUCAGCACUUUUGUACGGGACACAAAAACUCAAGAUCGAAAUGACAGUUUGGCUGGCCUGAUAUGGUUCCUGAAAUGGUCCGAAGGAGCAUCUUAUGCUUACAGUUUUCUUGGUGAACCAUAAAAAUUUAAACCAAUUACCAGCUUUACAUCUUGCCGAAGCCAAGAAGGUGUUUCUGGAAGGACCAUUCACUUGUCUAGCCAAGGAUGAUGAAUCUAAAUUCAGGAGACCUUCGCUUAUGUUGCCCCAUGUUGGAAAAAUCCGAAUACAUUCUUCCUCAGCAUCACUGUGCUUAUGUCGCCAAGAUUCUAGUUCCAUUAUCGGCUUGUCAGCCUCCAAGUAUAGUGCAAACAUCAUUUACAUUGAUUUCUGUGGAAACCAUGUUAAGUUUUUUUCUCUCCAGAGAAUAACAUAUUUAGGGGAUGUAAUGUCCUAUGAACUUCUAAAUUUUCAAGGCCGA